GUCCCUUCCUCACCUCUCUGUUUUCUCAGUCGCCCUCCCCUAUUCUCCGCUCUCAACUGGACAGGUCGCCGCUGGCCCCUCGUAAGAACAGCUCACCCCCGCCGCUAGCAAGAGAAGCCCGCUGCCGGCCGUCCACCCCUGCCACCGUCCUCUCCGAGGUGGCGCACCGCUCCCGACGCCGCCCCACACCCCAUGUCUCAGGUAUCUAGUUUGUCUGCAGGGAUGUAUAGGAGGGCACCUGCUAGGGUUCGUCCACCUCCUCUGCAUGUGCUGUUUGGCGUAGCACCGCAGCCGCUGGAGGUUGUCCCGCCGCCUGUGAUGGACGAUAUCACCGGAUUGCCGCUCAUGUUGUGUCCAAGCUGCAGGGAUUUGAGGCUCGUUCCAUUCACCUGUAAGUGGAUUGAAAAUCGUGGAAAGAGAUUUUUCAAGUGCUUGUGAUAUGGGGGAAAAAGAUGUGGCAUUUACAUGUUUCAAGACAAGUAUGAAUGGCACCUUAGGACCAAUGGAGAAUGUCGGGGCUGAGCGUGGGAUGGAUGCUGGCCUUGAGGCGAUGGAUGGUGGCCCUGAUUUGGUGAUGGAAGAAAUUGAACAAGUGAAGGUCGGAUUGCACGACAUGCAGGAUGAGUUGGCCAAGAUAAAGCUGGAAUUGGUUGAGUUGAAGAAUGAAGGAAUCAGAAAUAUGCUCGUGUUGUGUUGUUUUUAUUGGCAGCCAUCAUUUUCAUUGUAAUGAAGUAGAUGAACUUGUCUAUGAAUCCAUGAUGUUGUCUGUGUAUCCAUGAAAUGAGUUGGUCUA
This is a long non-coding RNA of Panicum virgatum (switchgrass), 793 nucleotides long. RefSeq lists it as uncharacterized. The transcript is spliced from 2 exons. The record is from RefSeq and is a predicted model, not a curated record. Lineage: Eukaryota; Viridiplantae; Streptophyta; Magnoliopsida; Poales; Poaceae.